GGAUAACUACGGAAAAGCUGUAGCUAAUACUUGCUUUAGCACUCUUGAUUUAUUUCUUGAGUGUGUACUUGUUAAGCCUUAUAAGAAAAGAGUUAUUAACUUAAGGAAUUAUAACAAAGAAGUGACACGUAAUGGAUCAGUCCAUUUUUAGUGUGUAUCAAUCGAGUUUCUGACCUAUCAGCUUUUGAUGUUAGGGUAUUGGCCUAACAUGGCUAUGACGGGUAACGGGGAAUUAGAGUUCGAUUCCGGAGAGGGAGCCUGAGAAAUAGCUACCACAUCUAAGGAAGGCAGCAGGCGCGUAAAUUACCCAAUUCUAAAGAAGAGAGGUAGUGACAAGAAAUAACAAUACAAGGCCAAUCUGGCUUUGUAAUUGGAAUGAUGGGAAUUUAAAACCUUCCCAAAAUUCAAUUGGAGGGCAAGUCUGGUGCCAGCAGCCGCGGUAAUUCCAGCUCCAAUAGCGUAUAUUAAAAUUGUUGCAGUUAAAACGCUCGUAGUUGAAUUUCAAAGAAUCGAUAUUUUAAGUAACGCUUCUAGCUAUAAAUCCACAUAACUGAUGCCUCCGCGUAUCGACUUUGUGCGCAUUUUAGCUAUUAUGUGUUCUUUUAAUUAAAAUGAUUCUUUUUAAGAUUCAUCUAUUAAAAAUUUGCUUCGGCAUAAUUUUUUUUGAUGAUCUUGUUACUUUGAGUAAAUUAGAGUGUUCAAAGCAAACAGAUAUAGCAUUUGUGCGUUUGAAUACUACAGCAUGGAAUAACAAAAUUGAACAAGUCAGAAUUUUUUUGUUCUUUUUUCUUAUUUUGGCUUAGUUACGAUUAAUAGGAGUAGCUUGGGGGCAUUUGUAUUCAGAUGUCAGAGGUGAAAUUCUUAGAUUUUCUGGAGACAAACAACUGCGAAAGCAUUUGCCUAAAAUACUUCCAUUAAUCAAGAACGAAAGUUAAGGGAGUGAAGACGAUCAGAUACCGUCGUAAUCUUAACCAUAAACUAUGCCGACUAGGCUUUGGAUGAAAGAUUUUAAAAUAAGAGUUUUUCUUUUCUCUCCGGAGAUUAGAACUC
This 1050-nucleotide ribosomal RNA is filed under the name Plasmodium knowlesi. RNAcentral describes it as "SSU rRNA". It matches the Rfam family "Eukaryotic small subunit ribosomal RNA", at positions 141 to 1105 of the family's 1831-position model. Lineage: Eukaryota; Apicomplexa; Aconoidasida; Haemosporida; Plasmodiidae. The record is from RNAcentral.